GCUUAACCAACUGAGCCACCCAGGCGUCCCUCAAAGCAGCUUCUUAAUCUGCCUUAUAGCGUUAGCUCUUCAGUUUUUCUGAUGAGGAGUAAUAGAGAUAAAAGUUAAGAUUCCAACCCUGCCUCUCCUAGCUUUCCUUCAUGAGCAGUGAACAGUGACUCACCUGGAUUCUCUUAGACUUGUUCAGAAGAGGACCCUUGGAAACUCAAAAAGGCAAAUGUAUUUCCAUGAACAUAAGUAAUUAAAAAUACCUCUUUCUGGCUUUGGUAGGAAACUAACUAUGAAUAAUGAUGUGCUGAAAUUUCACAAAGGUAAGGGAAAGGUGGUAGAAAUUGAAACUCAGUCCUUUUAUCCUUUCAGAUUUCUACUAUUAAAAUGGUUGGAUUAAGUGUUCACACUAAUAAGCAAUCCUUGUUUUGCACAAUGGAGUAUACACAGAAUCCUGAUUUGCAACUUCUAUAUCUCUCUCUAUUUACUGGAAGCAUCUACCUCAUAGAACUGACAGUAUUGGUCAGUAUCCUAUCUAACAGGUUGUGGCUUCAUCUGUUGUGAGUUUAUUAAGACAGGUUUUGGCUGGCACGUGACUACCCUCCCUUCCCCCCUACUUGAUCAGAAAAUGUCCUUUAUUCCCCCAACUCAAGUGUAUUCUUUUAUGCCUACAGCUUUUGUAACUGGACACUGAAGAGGAAUUCGGCAUCGUGUUCCUUGUGUCCCCCCACCUGCAAGGACUAUUUCAGUUCCAGCCCCAGUCCAAGUGUGCAGAAUUACCCAAAAGAGGCAAUUCAAAGAUCAGCCUGCCCCGGACAUCACUCUCAAUUUUGAUCUUCACUGGACAACUCUAAAGGGGGUGUGUGCAUCUCAAACUAUUAAGAACAGACUUCAGUUAGGCUUCCCUGGGCUGUGUGGUCCCAAAGUGAAGCUGAGGAGCCACCAGAAAACCUCAGAAGCUUUUCAUCCAGAAGCCUGAGGAAAGCCCUGCCCUUCCUCCAGAGAGGAGGAAGGUCCUUUAACAUGACAGGGCCUGCUGCCUUUCUGAGGCUGUAUUUGGGAAUCCAGGCACACUGUUCCCUCUGCUCUCAGAUCUCAUAAACCCAUCUAUGGAAGGCUGCUGACUUCCCAGGGAAUGUAACUGGAGAAAAUUGUUCCAAGACUUCUCAUCUCUGGGAUAGUGGAAAUAUGCCCUGCCAUUUCUUCCCCUCCUACUCUCCUCUCUCUACCAUCUGUAACCCCCUCAUUUUUCAGCAUGGGAGAUAGGUUUGUUUAUUUCAAUUUUACUAUUAUUAUUUUUUGCCAGUGGAAAGUCCUGCUCUUAUAUGCUCUUACAGACAUUUUGUCCAAAUCUCUUGCUAUGCCAGGAGUCUUUCUUAUUCCUGUAAAGCCAAGCCUUUUGCAACUCCAAAACCAGGAAUAGACUGUUUCCCCCUCUGUUUUCUUCACUAUCACAUGUUUCUCUUUAAAGCAAUGAGCACAGAAUGCCCAGUUGCUUGUUUGGGUGGAGUAAUGAGUAAAGAGAUUGAGGGGGAAGAUACUGGGUGUGGGAUGCGAUCUGUUAAUAUUAUCCUUCUAAACUUAUGGGGAAAAAACAGAAAUAACAAUAAUGAUAAUGAUAAUAAUAGAGCUCUUAGUGCAAACAUUGAUCCCUCUAUCCAGAUGAAAUUGUGUCCUUAGCUCUAAGAAAUAGUGCAUGCUCCUUAGUCUUUCUUUCUACACAAGUCAAGAAGACUUCAGAACUCAGAAGACCUGUUUUAAGUAAGCAAACUGAUGAUGGGACAGGUUGUCUUCUAGGAGGAUUUAUCUUCACUAGAGAUCAGUACUAGAGUGGUUUUGAAAGGUAUGAUUCUGUUAUUCAAGUUUGUUCUAGGAAUAUGACAGUUUACAUAAAACUGUUACUGUGAGAAAUCUAGACACAGUGAGAGGAACAUUUAGUCUUUUACACCCAGAAACCUGUGUAACAGGAAGAAUCACAUUGUAUUUUCUGAGAAUGCAGAGGCAUCUUUAAAGUACCUUUGCAGUUUUAACUUGUGUUGAAAUAUGUUGAUACUAGGGACACCUGGAUGGCUCAGUGGGCUAAAGCCUCUGCCUCUGGUUCAGGUCAUAAUCCCAGGGUCCUGGG
This is a long non-coding RNA of Neogale vison (American mink), 2113 nucleotides long. RefSeq lists it as uncharacterized. The record is from RefSeq and is a predicted model, not a curated record. The transcript is spliced from 3 exons. NCBI's taxonomy places the organism in Eukaryota, Metazoa, Chordata, Mammalia, Carnivora, Mustelidae.